RNAcentral lists this ribosomal RNA (519 nucleotides) under uncultured bacterium. RNAcentral's name for it is "bacterial SSU rRNA". It matches the Rfam family "Bacterial small subunit ribosomal RNA", at positions 8 to 518 of the family's 1533-position model. The record is from RNAcentral.
AGAGUUUGAUUAUGGCUCAGGAUGAACGCUAGCGACAGGCUUAACACAUGCAAGUCGAGGGGCAGCAUAAAAGUAGCAAUACUUGGUGGCGACCGGCGCGCGGGUGAGUAACGCGUAUGCAACCUACCUAUCAGAGGGGAAUAACCCGGCGAAAGUCGGACUAAUACCGCAUAAAACAGGGGCACCGCAUGGUGAUAUUUGUUAAAGAAAUUCGCUGAUAGAUGGGCAUGCGUUCCAUUAGGUAGUUGGUGAGGUAACGGCUCACCAAGCCGACGAUGGAUAGGGGAACUGAGAGGUUGGUCCCCCACACUGGUACUGAGACACGGACCAGACUCCUACGGGAGGCAGCAGUGAGGAAUAUUGGUCAAUGGGCGGGAGCCUGAACCAGCCAAGUCGCGUGAAGGAAAAGAAGGAUCUAUGGUUCGUAAACUUCUUUUGCAGGGGAAUAAAGUGCAGGACGUGUCCUGUUUUGUAUGUACCCUGAGAAUAAGGAUCGGCUAACUCCGUGCCAGCAGCAGC